Molecule: ribosomal RNA, 437 nt
Filed under: Ototyphlonemertes pallida
Lineage: Eukaryota; Metazoa; Nemertea; Enopla; Monostilifera; Ototyphlonemertidae
Description: partial 28S ribosomal RNA
Source: RNAcentral
AAUAGUACGUGAAACCGUUUAGAGGUAAACGGGUGGAGUCGUAAAGUGGUCUGGAUAGAUUCAACCGUUCGAACGUCGACUUCGGCAGAGUGGUCCAUCGGAUGCUUCAUCGCACCGGCUCCGUCGUUGGAAACCGUCGUCGAUCGGCGCACUUCUUUCCAGACAGCGUCACGACCGAUUUCGCUGCUGGUCAAAAGCUUCGUUGGAAGGUGACUCCGACUUCGGCCGGAGAGUUACAGCCUACGACUGCGUCGUCCAGCGCGAGAUCGAGGAAUGGCCGUACCCGCCUUCAGGCACGGGUUCUCGUCUCUUCGUUUGCCGUUCGACUGGGCUGGACUGUUUACAGUGCUGUCCGACCGCGGUAGACGUUAGAGCGCGAGUGCACUCCCGAGUGGUACUCAAGGUCAGUGGCGAGUGGUCGGCAAUCCACCCGACCC